UUUUAUUGGCCUACUCUCUUCAAAGAUGCUCGUAAGUUUGUCUUAUCUUGUGAUGAAUGUCAAAGAAUAGGUAACAUUAGUAGACGUCAAGAAAUUCCUAUGAAUUUUUCUCUUGUUAUUGAACCGUUUGAUGUUUGGGGCUUUGAUUAUAUGGGACCUUUUCCUGCCUCUAACGGUUAUACACAUAUUUUAGUUGUUGUUGAUUACGUUACUAAGUGGGUAGAAGCUAUUCCAACUAGUAGUGUUGAUCAUAACACUUCUAUUAAAAUGCUUAAAGAAGUUAUUUUUCCGAGGUCUGGAGUCCCU
Molecule: ribosomal RNA, 306 nt
Filed under: Triticum aestivum (bread wheat)
Lineage: Eukaryota; Viridiplantae; Streptophyta; Magnoliopsida; Poales; Poaceae
Description: partial small subunit ribosomal RNA
Source: RNAcentral